Molecule: long non-coding RNA, 700 nt
Organism: Felis catus (domestic cat)
Lineage: Eukaryota; Metazoa; Chordata; Mammalia; Carnivora; Felidae
Exons: 2
Source: RefSeq, a predicted model, not a curated record
UGGUGGGUUGGCCAGGUUCAGGGCCACGAGCUCCGACUCCAUCGGGGCCGCUGGUUUUCAGUAAUGACCGUGAGCUGAAGAAUUUUUGUUUGGUUUGGUUGUGUUUUUGUUUUUUUUUUUUUCUUUGAAAUUGCCUGUCCGUUCUGUCAAACAGAAAUGACCACCACCGAUCUUCCCCCCCGUGGAAGAAUUCAUAUGGGAGUUGCUACCAGUCUGACUCUUUUCAAGUGACAGCAGGCGUCAGGGAACAGAGAGGAGAAGGUCACAUUGCAUUCCUUUCAGACCCAAAGUGCAAAGUGUCCGCACUGCCCUCACUUCAACGGCUCAAAAUAAAAAAGCGAACUUGGCCACAGAUUCCCAAGGAGAGGGGAGGAGGCCCCGUUCAUCUUGCUUUUGCAGUUUCCUCAAACGGGAGAAGAGGAGGAAGAGGAAGGGGAAGUUCCCACUCUUGGCUCUCCGUGUACUAAAUUCUGACCUUGGAGAUGAAGAAGCCCAAAGAAAAACAAGCAGUCAUCCCCAGACGUCAGUGCCACUACUAAGGACAAAGAAAUCACUAAGAAUGAAAAGCCUCCAUUGUUUGCAGCCCUAAAAAGUAUGAAACACAAUCAGGAUACCCAGCGUGACAGUUUCAGUGGUGGAGUAUUCAUGGGAAAAAAAAAAAAAUCUAAAAAUAAAAAGUCGGGAAGAUGGGCAAGUGGCC